This 497-nucleotide ribosomal RNA is filed under the name uncultured bacterium. RNAcentral describes it as "partial 16S ribosomal RNA". It matches the Rfam family "Bacterial small subunit ribosomal RNA", at positions 28 to 507 of the family's 1533-position model. The record is from RNAcentral.
GAUGAACGCUGGCGGCGUGCCUAAUACAUGCAAGUCGAGCGAACAGACGAGGAGCUUGCUCCUCUGACGUUAGCGGCGGACGGGUGAGUAACACGUGGAUAACCUACCUAUAAGACUGGGAUAACUUCGGGAAACCGGAGCUAAUACCGGAUAAUAUAUUGAACCGCAUGGUUCAAUAGUGAAAGACGGUUUUGCUGUCACUUAUAGAUGGAUCCGCGCCGCAUUAGCUAGUUGGUAAGGUAACGGCUUACCAAGGCGACGAUGCGUAGCCGACCUGAGAGGGUGAUAGGCCACACGGGAGCUGAGACACGGACCAGACUCCUACGGGAGGCAGCAGUAGGGAAUCUGCGGCAAUAGGCGAAAGCCUGACGGAGCAACGCCGCGUGAGUGAUGAAGGUCUUCGGAGCGUAAAACUCUGUUAUUAGGGAAGAACAAAUGUGUAAGUAACUAUGCACGUCUUGACGGUACCUAAUCAGAAAGCAACGGCUAACUACGUG